Molecule: long non-coding RNA, 328 nt
Filed under: Mytilus galloprovincialis (Mediterranean mussel)
Lineage: Eukaryota; Metazoa; Mollusca; Bivalvia; Mytilida; Mytilidae
Source: RNAcentral
ACUUCUAUACAAUGUAUGAGUUGCAGUCUUAUUGUCUGACUAGCUUGUCUUCGUUGGGAUGUCUUUGAUUAUGAUACAGUCCUGAUAAAUUGAAAACUACAACAACAGGAAUUCCCGAGCUUCUUCACUGGUAUCGGACUUGGUAGCAUGGUAGACACAUGACAUGCCACUGGCACUGGAAAAGUUGUGAAAGGACUUGCCUUUGUCUAAAAAAGUUCUAAAAUAUUUCCCCAUCAUGCACAGUAUCUUCGUAAAAGAGAUAUGGAUUCCCGUUACAGUUAAAACGGAAUAAAACUGUGUAAUAUCAAAUGAAACACAGCAGAUGCAA